AACGCCGCGUGAAGGAAGAAGGCUUUCGGGUUGUAAACUUCUUUUCUCAGGGACGAACAGAUGACGGUACCUGAGGAAUAAGCCACGGCUAACUACGUGCC
RNAcentral lists this ribosomal RNA (101 nucleotides) under uncultured bacterium. Its description in RNAcentral is "partial 16S ribosomal RNA". It matches the Rfam family "Bacterial small subunit ribosomal RNA", at positions 393 to 509 of the family's 1533-position model. The record is from RNAcentral.